RNAcentral lists this ribosomal RNA (298 nucleotides) under uncultured bacterium. Its description in RNAcentral is "partial 16S ribosomal RNA". It matches the Rfam family "Bacterial small subunit ribosomal RNA", at positions 189 to 507 of the family's 1533-position model. The record is from RNAcentral.
GAUGUCUUCGGACCAAAGAUUUAUCGGCAAAGGAUGAGCCCGCGUAGGAUUAGGUAGUUGGUGGGGUAAAGGCCUACCAAGCCGACGAUCCUUAGCUGGUCUGAGAGGAUGAUCAGCCACACUGGGACUGAGACACGGCCCAGACUCCUACGGGAGGCAGCAGUGGGGAAUAUUGGACAAUGGGCGAAAGCCUGAUCCAGCAAUGCCGCGUGAGUGAUGAAGGCCUUCGGGUCGUAAAGCUCUUUUACCAGGGAUGAUAAUGACAGUACCUGGAGAAUAAGCUCCGGCUAACUCCGUG